This 6177-nucleotide long non-coding RNA is filed under the name Sus scrofa (pig). Its description in RNAcentral is "lncRNA (ENSSSCG00025064066.1)". The record is from RNAcentral. Lineage: Eukaryota; Metazoa; Chordata; Mammalia; Artiodactyla; Suidae.
GGGGGUGUCUUUUUGUCUUUGUAGGGCCACACCUGCGGCAUAUGGAGGUUCCCAGGCUAGGGGUCCAAUCCCAGGUGGCUGGCCUACACCACAGCCACAGCAACGUGGGAUCCGAGCCGCAUCUGCCACCUACACCACAGCUCACGGCAAUGCUCCAUUCCCCAACCUGCGGAGCGAGGCCAGGGAUCAAACCUGCAUCCUCAUGGAUGCUCGGCGGGUUCACUAACUGCUGAGCCACGACGGGAACGCCAGCUUUCGAGAUGCUGACAGCCUUAGCGCCUGGUUGUGGACAAGCCCACGCAGGCUUCAUGAGGCCGGGUGUCCCCCACACAGCAGCCCAGGGCCCUGUCCUGGUCAGUUCUUGACUCCUCCAGAUUUUAGGGGACUGGGGAGAACGCUGCAGGGCAGACAGUGCAUUUCUGUGUGUCUGAGUUGAUAGGUUUUAGUUUCUCCGGGGACCCGUUAAGGGCCUUUGAUUGGAAGCCUCUCAGGUUCCCAAAGACCCAGCCACCACCGGUGUGUGUGGUGGGGGUGGAGGGGGGACAGGAGGGGAGGGGGCUUCCUUCCCCUUCCCCGGGGGAGGGGCUGCUGCCGUGGGGCAAAGUGAACCUUCGUGCCCAGCUUCGUUCCUCUCUGUUUCCUGAGGUCGUAGCAGUCUAGGUUCCAAUUACAUUCCCACAAUAACGAGCCCGUUACAGUAAGUGAACAUUUUCAAGUGCAACCAAAUGAGCAUCCACUGAAUAUGCUGGCACCUAGUCAUUUUCCUUUUGCAGAAGGAAAGAAGCAGACUCUGGGUGAAAAGAGGUCGUCUGUGACAAGUCAGAGCAAGGAUGAGAAUGCAAAGGUGUUUAGCAUGGCUCCUGGCCUCGGUUCCAUCAAGGCUGUGGGGACACAGAUCUGUGGAACUUUCCUGCAAGUGCCGAGGCUCCCUGCCCAGACCGCGUCAGGCUGGCCGUGUUUCUAAAUAAAGUCACAUUCUGAGGCCCCAGGGGGUUUAGACUUCAGCAUGAGUCGGGGGAGGACAUUCAGCCCGCAAGGCCCUGGAGAGUCAGGGUCUGCCAAGGACCCCUGCUGGGUGCUGCCCUGACUGCAGGGCAGGGGUCCUGUCAGCCGGGAGCCCAGACCCCCGAGUGGGGACACCAGCCAGCUUUGCACAUGUCGCAGGAAUUUCAAGCUCAAUCCAGCCACUGCUUCUAGGAGACACUGAAGCUCCUGGAUUGAAGACCUGCUGUCCGGCCACCCUCGGAGACCCGUGGCAGACGUGGAGCCAGCAGGAAAGAGCAGCCCCCUGCCCUGGCACAGGCUCCGGCCUCUCCAUGUCAGUCCAGGGGGCAGAGCCCGACGCGGUCAGCAGGGGAGGCGGGGGUGGGGUGGGGUGGGGGGUUCUGCAGAGCAGAGGGCGGGGGUGGGGGGGGGGAGCUUCGGGCAAAGCUCCCCCUCUGGCCACUUGGCAUCCAGAUGCACCAUCCACUGUCUGAAUCCCAGCCUUGCGCCCAGAAUAGCUGUGUCUCCACCUGACAAGGAGCCACAGUGCUGGGAACAAAGCUGUUCCCUCCUAAGGGGGGGAAAAGCGGUGCCCGCCGCAUCCCUCAGGGAGGCAGGCUGUGCUCCUCCAGGCGAUGGAAUUUCUCCUCAGACGCAGCGGCAGGCCCACCAGAAGGUUCCAUCCCUUACAGACUAGCUGGUAAAUUUCCCUCCAUCAAAACCUGUAUAAAAUGACAAGGGCCCAGAGGGGCAAGAAGAAGAAAAAUUGUAUAUACAAUGUGUAAUGCAUAAAUUAUACUUAUAAACACAUGUACUAUAUAAAUCACACACACACAUCAGAUAAAUAUAUGAAAAAAUGUGCCACUGGAACCAGAACUGCUGCCCUUCCCAUUUCUGUAAAUGAUCAUGAGACCAUAGUUGCAUAUUUUUAAGUAUCUUUGUUGACAUAUAAUUUAUGUAUCAUAAAAUUCAUCUAUUUAAACUGUACGUGCAAUGGUUUUUGGUACGUUUACAGAGUUAGGCAACCACCACCACAAACAUUUUAAUCACCCCCAAAACAGACCCUGGACAGUCCACUCGCCCCCCGCCCUGUUCCCUGGAAACCGCUAAUCUCCUUUCUGUCUGAAGACAUUUGCCUGUUCUGAAAUUUUACAUUUUGUCUCCAUGAAAUGAUACAAUAGCGGUCUUUUAUGACCAAUGUCUUUCACUUGGCAUGACGCUUUCAAGGUUCCUGGUUUUUCUCAUAGUUGAUAUUUAUACUGGCUUAGUCACUGGUACAAUGUGUAAUAAUAAUGCUUCUUCUACGGAGUUGUUCUGGGGAGGGAGGGAGUUAAUGCACAUGAAAUUCUCGGGAUACUGCCUGACAGAGUUAGUGCCUCAUAAAUUAAGCUAUUAUUGAUUGUAUUGAUUGCUUCACCUGGUAUAGAAAUACUUGCAGAGAUAACAUUAAAAGUUUCCUAUUCUGGCCUUACUGAAACACCAUCAGAUAUUUUUUGGCUCUUUUUUUUUUUUUUUUUUAAGGGCCAAACCCGUGGCAUAUGGAGGUUCCCAGGCUAGAGGUUGAAUCGGAGUUCAGCUGCUGGCCUACGCCACAGCCACACGGGAUCCGAGCCACGUCUGCAACCUACACCACAGUUCACGGCAACCCCAGAUCCUUAACCCACUGAGCAAGGCCAGGGAUCGAACCCAAGUCCUCGUGGAUACUCAUCCUGGUUGUUACCACUGAGCCCCACCGGGAACUCUCAAAUAUUUUUAAAAUAUAGCGUCUUCAAAAGAAAAAGUAGUGAAGUGAGGGUUUUCCUUGUUGCGUCCUGUGUGGCCUCUGGGUUCAUGACUGUCGCCUAGUUCAGCUGCGACACAAGGUUGUCCGGCAGGUGUCAGACCCACUCGGAAGUGCAUUCUUAUAUUUCUCUGUGAAACUCAGGUCCCCCACGGCGUUCUACAUAUCGGAACUAAAAUGUGUAUUAUCUUUAUGCCUUUCCUGUUUUAUGCUUUUUUCUCCCCAAAUAAUCUUACCACGUCUGAGGCUUUGUCGCACUCAUACGAGAAGCUAAGGGUGUGUUCAGAGUCCUCUCAGAGAGAAGGACUCAGGCUAGAAACCACCUGAAGACGGGGACUGUUCUCCUUGGGUACACUUUUUGUCAAUUUUUUAGUAGCUUUUAAAAAAUUUAACAAUAUUGCCCCAAACGCCUCAAUACGUGGCCUGGGAUCAGAUGACCAGGUCCCUCUGCAGGCCCACGACCCCCGCAUGUUCAUCCUGGGCGGCUCUCUCCCCAGCUCCCGACUCCUGAAUCUCACCCCCACCGAAUUUCUCGAGGAUGAAGCCUGCAUCCAGGGUGAGUGUCCCCGCCCGUUAAGGGGCCACCCGCCUGCCGGUUGCUGGGGAAGCUCGGGGGUCUCCCGGCUCUCCCACGCCACACCUUGUCAGGGGACAUCCUUCUGGCUCCACCUUCCUGUGACAACAAACCCAGAAUCUGACCCCUCCUCACUGUGGCCACCCCCCCCCCACCCAUUGCUUCCUUUUCUGGCCUCUGCCUCCUGCAAACAGCUCCCUAGGUCUGGGGUCUGCGGCCACGGCCACCUUUCCCGUCGCACCAGUCCUCUGCUCCAAGCCUGCUCCCCGUCCUCGGGGAGCUUCGAGGUCCCGGGAUCUGCCUGCCGUGCUGAGCACUUACCUCCUGCACGCCAGCUCCAGGCCCCGUGUGGUCCAGCUCCGCUGGUUCUCAGCAUCGCCCUUCUGCCCAGAAUCCUCACUAACUCCCACCCCUUCCAGGUUUAGCUCAAUGUCAGUGUCGCCUUCUUGGAAGCUGCUCUGCCUACUCACUCCACGAAUGACCUUCAGGUGACCUUGCGCUUCCCUCCCAGCCCCGACUUUGCACCCAUCCGCCUUCCUCCCCUACGUGUGAGCUCCCUGGGGGCAGGAGCUCGGUCUGCGAGGCUCACGGAUGACUCCUGUGUAUGGAAACAGGGUCGGGCCCACAGCGAGGGCUCCCAAACCGUGCCAACAAAUGAACCAACAGGACAGGGCGGUCAUCACGGGUUUGGAAAAAAUGCAACCUGGCAGUUGAGAGUUGUUUUACUUGGGGUGAAAUUAGGACAUAAGCCCGGGAGACAGCCUCUCAGGGGGUCCCGAGAAACCGCUCCGAGGAGGCGAGGGGGGAGCUGGGGUCUAUGAGUUUUUGCGACAAAGGGAAGGUAGCAGGAGCAAGGGGUUUAGGGAUAUAACGGGACUCACAGGAAACCCAUUGCUAUGGGAAGACGUCAGGUCUGGGCUCACAGGACUCGCCCUCCUCAGGCUGUCCUGAGUGCCCUCAGGGUCACCGGCCCGCCCUUGGGAGCGGCUGUCCUCACAGGUGACCAGACAUCUUGUGUUCUGCCCACUAACUACAGCCCAGGAGGCAGCACCUCGGGGAGCUCUGAAGCACCGCCCCAGAGAGGCGGGGGGACAUCACGACGGCUGCUGCCAGUCACAGACAGCGGGCAUCGCCGACAGAUUUCAGUGCUUUUCGAGAUAGGACGAGAUGCAAAAUUGGGCUCAAAAACCCUUCUCCUAAAAACAUCUAACUCUCUGAAGACCCAGCUGUUCUUCCAGCGCUUCCCAGAGCACAGAGGGGCCCUCCUGGUCUCCACCCUGAGCCCCAGUCAGCGGGGCCGCGGGCGGGUCGGCAGCUGCGGUGGCACGUGAUUUAGUCCAUGCAGGGCUGAUGGCAGGUGCCGCGGUCGCAGUCUUUCCUAAUCUUCAUGUGUCCCCUCUUCUUCUGAUUUUGCACAGAACGUGAUUACAUAUAGUUGGAUAUUUCCGUGACUAAUUCAACAUGUGUGUCACAUGUUAUAGCAAGACCUGAGCGCCUUUCGCCGUGACGGGCCCGGGAGCAAAUAUUCUAGGUGUUGGAGGUCACGUUCUGUCUCUUAGCUUGUGGGCUGUUUAAAACGCGCAGGAUUAUGAUUAAGAUAACAAGUACCCCAUCGAUGGGCCAAUGAGCUAUUUCCAGUCUCAGCGAUUAUAAGCUGUACAGCUGACAUUUAACUAAUAAAUUUUGUCUCUUACAUUUACUUCAAGUUUUUUCCUGUUUCAUUGUUUUUCUUAUAAUCUCUUUUCCUUUAUUAUUCCUUUCACUGAUUAAGAAGUAAAUGAAUGAUUUCUGUAUGAUAGCUUAAAUUCAUUAUUUGUCUUCAAAACCAGUCUACCAUUGAUAUUUUAAUAUGAAAAUUACACACAAGAAAUUUGAAAAAGAGAAAAAUGUAAAGAAAACACAAGUCACUAGAAGAUGUGACACAGAGUGGCCAUGUUUCACGGACUUUUUCCGAUCGUUUCUCUGUAUAUGCGCUUUAGAAAGAAUCAGCCACAUCAAGAUAAUGCUGUAUGGACACAAUCUUGAGUCUUGAAUUUCCCCCCUUAAUCAUGAGCGUGUUUUCCAGUAAAACCAGUUACAUGCCUACAUAAUGUAGCGUUAUAUAGUCACUUAUAACUAUUAUAUCUAUUUAAGCUACUGCCGUGUUUUACACAGUUUUUCUGAAUUUCUGACUGCUUUUUCAGAUCGGUGCCGGAAAGGGACUGUGCUUUUCUGGUUUCCUCUCAAGAAAGGCGUUUCCAGAGGGUGGGCGAUGCUCCGUCCUCUGAGCUCAGCAGGGCCUGCACACCAGGCACAAGGGGAGACGGCGACCAGCCGUGGUGCUAACAGCCCCGGCCCUGUGGACGGCUCCGGCCCUUCUCUGGCCGUCCUGGGAGGGCCGUCCAGGAGCACCGCGUUCCCGUCAAAUGCUGGUUCAGGUCUUGGCUCUGUCAUUAGUAGUGGGGACGGUGGCCAAGUAAUUUCCUUAUUUUCCUCGUCCUUCCGGGGGCUGCUGUGGGGCGGGGGUGGCAGGAUGCAGGCACGUGCUGCCCAGCAGCUCGGGGAGCAUUGGAGUGAGAGGCAGCCGCUCCGAUCUGUUCAUCCUCCGAGGUGGUUCUUUCUCACACACACACACUCACACACACACACACUCCUUAAUUCUUUUCUUUUCUUUCUUUUUUUUUUCUUUUUUUUGUAAAGUUUAGACUUUGGUAACUUUUCUCAGCUCGUUGCAUUUUCAAUUAGAUAAAGUUUUCCUUACUUUUAUCCUCCGGCGUUAUUUUUGGCGUCACCUCAUUGCCGCUUUAUUACAAGAAGGCGUUGACUUUGAUCAAGGCCUCGGAUCUGUUCUGACUCACAG